UACGUAGGUGGCGAGCGUUGUCCGGAAUUACUGGGUGUAAAGGGCGUGUAGGCGGGUUGUCAAGUCAGAUGUGAAAUUCCAGGGCUCAACUCUGGAGCUGCAUCUGAAACUGAUGAUCUUGAGUACUGGAGAGGGAAGCGGAAUUCCUAGUGUAGCGGUGAAAUGCGUAGAUAUUAGGAGGAACACCAGUGGCGAAGGCGGCUUUCUGGACAGUAACUGACGCUGAGGCGCGAAAGCGUGGGGAGCGAACAGG
This 253-nucleotide ribosomal RNA is filed under the name uncultured bacterium. RNAcentral's name for it is "partial 16S ribosomal RNA". It matches the Rfam family "Bacterial small subunit ribosomal RNA", at positions 524 to 776 of the family's 1533-position model. RNAcentral also lists the same sequence under 1 other name. The record is from RNAcentral.